CACGUAUUUAGCCGUUCCUUUCUGGUAAGAUACCGUCACACACUGAACAGUUACUCUCAGUGCCGUUCUUCUCUUAUAACAGUGUUUUACGAGCCGAAACCCUUCAUCACACACGCGGCGUUGCUCCAUCAGGCUUGCGCCCAUUGUGGAAGAUUCCCUACUGCUGCCUCCCGUAGGAGUAUGGGCCGUGUCUCAGUCUCAUUGUGGCCGAUCAGUCUCUCAACUCGGCUAUGCAUCAUUGCCUUGGUAAGCCUUUACCUUACCAACUAGCUAAUGCACCGCGGGUCCAUCUCUUAGUGAUAGCAGAACCAUCUUUCAACCAACAACCAUGCGGUUGUUGGUAUUAUACGGUAUUAGCACUUGUUUCCAAAUGUUAUCCCCUGCUAAGAGGUAGGUUACCCACGUGUUACUCACCCGUUCGCCACUCUUUGUCAGAUAAAAUCAAAUUAGAGCAAGCUCGUCAGAUCAAUUAAAGACAAAGCGUUCGACUUGCA
RNAcentral lists this ribosomal RNA (494 nucleotides) under uncultured Weissella sp. RNAcentral describes it as "partial 16S ribosomal RNA". Lineage: Bacteria; Bacillati; Bacillota; Bacilli; Lactobacillales; Lactobacillaceae. The record is from RNAcentral.